UAGGGAAUCUUCCGCAAUGGACGAAAGUCUGACGGAGCAACGCCGCGUGAGUGAUGAAGGUUUUCGGAUCGUAAAGCUCUGUUGUUAGGGAAGAACAAGUACCGUUCGAAUAGGGCGGUACCUUGACGGUACCUAACCAGAAAGCCACGGCUAACUACGUGCCAGCAGCCGCGGUAAUACGUAGGUGGCAAGCGUUGUCCGGAAUUAUUGGGCGUAAAGGGCUCGCAGGCGGUUUCUUAAGUCUGAUGUGAAAGCCCCCGGCUCAACCGGGGAGGGUCAUUGGAAACUGGGGAACUUGAGUGCAGAAGAGGAGAGUGGAAUUCCACGUGUAGCGGUGAAAUGCGUAGAGAUGUGGAGGAACACCAGUGGCGAAGGCGACUCUCUGGUCUGUAACUGACGCUGAGGAGCGAAAGCGUGGGGAGCGAACAGGAUUAGAUACCCUGGUAGUCCACGCCGUAAACGAUGAGUGCUAAGUGUUAGGGGGUUUCCGCCCCUUAGUGCUGCAGCUAACGCAUUAAGCACUCCGCCUGGGGAGUACGGUCGCAAGACUGAAACUCAAAGGAAUGGACG
Molecule: ribosomal RNA, 570 nt
Filed under: Bacillus sp. enrichment culture clone M7C10
Lineage: Bacteria; Bacillati; Bacillota; Bacilli; Caryophanales; Bacillaceae
Description: bacterial SSU rRNA
Rfam family: Bacterial small subunit ribosomal RNA
Source: RNAcentral